This 513-nucleotide long non-coding RNA is filed under the name Manihot esculenta (cassava). RNAcentral's name for it is "long non-coding RNA (MESC_LNC005903)". Lineage: Eukaryota; Viridiplantae; Streptophyta; Magnoliopsida; Malpighiales; Euphorbiaceae. The record is from RNAcentral.
GUAACGACCCGGAAACCGGACCGCUACCGGCGCUAGGAUUCAGGUCGGCUUAAGGCCGCCGGAACCCGUAGCAAGCCAAACAUACAUCCUGUGAACCUGUUUAAUCCCAUACAUGAACCAAAACAUACAUAAAAAUUAAAACUUUUCUUUCAUUCAAACAUUUCUUUACCCAGCCUAGCCUGUGCAUGCAUAACCAUAACAUAAACCCCUCAUUGGAGUUCUCAACAAAUACUCCAAUGGGGUACAUAACAUAUAUCAGGCUUGGGUUACAUAAACAUCAUAAAACAUUUACUUCAUGUAUUUAAGGGAUUACAACAGACUCUAGUCAAGCACACUAUAAAACUUACAUUACAUUACAUAACAUACUUUUACAUUAAGAAUAAACCAUGUCCACAGCUAUGCUAUUACAUAACCUCCUCUUACUCUUCUGACUUCUCUAUCUACACGGUACCUGCAAGACUGGGGUUAGGGGAGAGGGGUGAGCUAAAAAGCCCAGUGAGCAAAAAGUAAAAA